CUAUUGCGCAGGCGCAGUGCCACUUACAGAGCAUGGAAGUGGUGGGCGUCCUGGGUUUGAUAGUGGUGGUCCUAGCAUCCGGUUUCUUCUGGGUUUGGGACUUCUUGGAACGAAUGAAGAGUCAGGAACAGGCAGGCCUGUUGGGAAGCGAAAGCCGGACCCUCCUGGUGAUCGCGCACCCGGACGAUGAAGCCAUGUUCUUUGCUCCUACUGUGCUAGGUUUGACCCGCCUGAGGCACCGAGUGUUCUUGCUCUGCUUCUCUGCAGGAAAUUACUACAAUCAAGGGGAGAUUCGUAAGAAAGAACUUCUGCAGAGCUGUGAUGUCUUGGGAGUUCCACCCUCCAGUGUAAUGAUUAUUGACAACAGGGAUUUCCCAGAUGACCCAGGUGUGCAGUGGGACACAGAGCAGGUGGCCAGCGUCCUCCUCCAGCACAUAGAAGUGAAUGGCAUUAACCUGGUGGUGACUUUCGAUGUGGGGGGCGUGAGCGGCCACAGCAAUCAUGUUGCUCUGUACGCGGCCGUGAGGACCCUGCACUCAGAAGGGAAGCUACCUAAAGGGUGCUCUGUGCUCACGCUUCAGUCUGUGAACGUGCUGCGCAAGUACAUCUCCCUUCUGGACCUGCCCUUUUCUCUGCUUCAUACCAGCGAUGUCCUCUUCGUGCUCACCGGCAAAGAAGUGGCACAGGCCAAGGGUUAUUCAAAUUGAGAUAAUGCAUGGAGACUGAGUGCUCUGGCUGCCGUUGGCUUCAUCUGCUAUUAUCACAAGGGAAGAGCCAUGUCCUGCCACCGCAGCCAGCUCCUGUGGUUCCGUCGGCUCUACGUGCGCUUCUCCCGCUACAUGAGAAUUAACUCUCUGCACUUCCUCUGAAGCCUGAAAGCCUUUUCAGAUCCAAGAAACUAAGGGAGAAAGAAGAACAGGAAGCCUGGGGACGUGGUCUAGAGCUGGCUUACCUCCCUGAGCCAAAGGAGAUCCCAACAUGGGUGGCCCCCCAGAACUCUGCUCAUUGGUGCUUGUUAGCCCCUAAUAAAAGGGGGGCCAUGCAGGCCAAUGGGCUAUGUAAACUUCAACUUCUUCCUCUGGGAAAAAAACUACAAUCCGAAACAAACCAACCGAAGGAUAAUAGCUACCCUGCUCGCUUCUCAAGUCCUUGUGAAAAAUAAUAUACAUGAUAACACAGUGUAUGUCAAACACCUAGCACAGAGUCUGCUAUUAUUAUAAAUGAAUGUAAAAGCACUCUAAAACCAUUUCCCAGAUGCAAUGAUGCAGUAUUUUUACAGUUUCCAAAGCAGGUUCACCAAACGCACGCAUGCAUACACUCAGGAACAGUCUAUGUUGACUUAGUUGAGCCCUAAUUCCUUUAUCUUUGUGGCCCAUGUAUCAGACUUGAAUCUAGAGAAAACUUGCUCUAUUUAACACCGGUCACUGACGGGGGCACUCGGGUUCCCAUCCUGUGCUGGGCAGUUUCACACAGAUGAGCCUGAUGUGGGCCGGUCCUCAGGGAGCUACAGUCAAAUACCUCAGCUCUCAGUCUUUGGGGAAAAGAGGGAAAUAACAAGAGAAAUCUGGACCCCCUUUUUUUUUUAAACACUCAAGAACCUGACACCUGAAAAUUGUGCUACAAACAAAAGCGCUCUGAGAGGUCUGGCUUAGAAGCUACUCUCAGAGUCCAGCUAAUGGUCCAGAGAAGUGGCCCGAGGCAGGGAGCUCAGUGGUCAAGAGCAACAGGCCCUAAAGACUGGUGAGCCUACGUGUGAGGCCAGAAUUAGCAGCAAAGUAACCCCAUGGCCGAGGUGCUUAACCUGUCUCUGCCUCAAUUCUCUCACGUGCAAAACCGGGACAAUAAUGUACCAACCUCAGAGGAGAUGAUGCCUGAAGGUGCAUGGUAAAGGGUCUGACAUGCAGUAAAGAAAGAUGAGCUGCAGGUAUUCUGAGACCUGAAGAAUAAGUAGGCAUUAAGCAAAGGGACUAGCUUAAGUAGAAGGCCUGAAACCGAAAAGACCUUGGUGUGCAUUGUUCCUGAGUACUCCAGGGGCCUGUCAGAUGCAGUGCUGAAUUGCUGUCUCCAUAACAGCAGGUUAGAGACCUGCUUGUUGGUUCUCCACCCAAAUUUGCUCCAAUGAUCUCGAAUGCUUCCUAGGGGCCAAAUAUGGCUGACAGAGUUAUCAGGCUCUGAAGCUGGAAUCAAAAAUGCAAAUCUGGCUGUAAUCUGUCUACUAAAAAUUUGUCAAUAGCUCCUAAUAAGCUUCAUGUGAGACUGUGACAAGAAAUAAGCCACGAACACUGGUUAGUGUGUGGUGGACUAGGCUGAAUCAUACCCGGUACAAGGAAUACAGACACUGACCCAGCCUUUCUGGACAGCAAUUCUCAGUAUGUGUUAAGGGCUUUCAAAAUAUACAUACUCUGUGGCCUAAGGAAAUAUUUUAAAAAUCAAAAUCCUAUACACAAAGAUCAUCACAAUAUUAUUUAAAAUAGCAAAAUUAGAAAAAUCCGGUGAUACAACCAUAUUUAGUAACAAGGAAAAAUGUUCAUGAUAUAUUAAAUUUUAAAAAGCAGGUUAGGAAUGGUACAAUCCAACUUUUGUCAAGCAUACAUACACGUAACUACCCUUUUUCCCCGUAAAUAAACCUAGCCGGACAAUCAGCUCUAACGUGUCUUUUGGAGCAAAAAUUAAUAUAAGAUUCAGUCUUAUUUUACUAUAAGACUGGGACUUUAAUAUAAUAUAAUACCGGGUCUUAUAUAAGACCAGGUCUUAUAUUAAUUUUUGCCCCAAAAGACACAUUAGAGCUGAUUGUCCAGCUAGGUCUUAUUUUCGCGGAAACACGUUAUGUGUGUGUGCACACUUGCAUCGAAGGCUAUCUAUAUAUCCAUAGGGUCAUCUUUCUACAGUGAACAUUUAUAAUUUUAAAGGAUUUUUGUUGUUUAUGAAUAGUUUUGAUGUGAGAAAAUACUUUUGAUAUAAUGUGAAGUUAAAAAAAUGUUUAACCAGUAUAAUUCCAAUUAUGUAAAGAAAUGAUUCAUUAAAGAAAAGCUAGCUGUUUAUACACUGCUGGUCCACGUAGAUGGUACAACCUCUGUAGAGGACAAGUUGGCAACUUCCUGUAAAGUUAAUAGCCCUUGGUCCAGCAUUUCCACUUUCAGUAAUUUACACUAUAGAUUUACUCAAGUGCCAAAAGAGGUAUGUAAAGGAUAGACAUUGAAACACUAUUUAUAAUAGUAAAAUACUGAACCAGUCCAAAUGUUUAUCAACUUAGGAUUGGUUAAAUAGUGGAUAAAACAGUAAAAUACCAUAAAGCUAUUUUAAAAAUAACAAGGCGAUGCACUGAUAUGGAAAGAUCCCUAAAGUAUUUUAUUAAGUGAAAAAAGCCAGAUGUGGAACAGUGUUAGUGAUUUCAACCAUUUGUGAGGGGGAAAAAAUAAAAGUCUACACAUCAAAUGUGGGUAAACAAAUAUUAUAUCUCUGGUAAUGGUGGGAGGAGGGGAAUGGGUACCUUUUGUCCCUUUUGAAUUUUGUACCAAGUGCAUACGUUACCUAUUCAAAAGUGUUUUUUAAAUCAUAGAUUAGAAAGAUGUGUAGGAUUAUAUCACUGGGAGUUGCUUCUGGGUAGUGCGACUUGAAACUUAUUUUCUGCUUCUUUUGUUUUACUGUACAUGCUGAUUAUUUUUUUAAAUAAAUUAAAAAUCUAGAUGGAAAAUGAAAAUACACUAACAUUUAUAUUUACUGAAUGCCUGGUGCUUGAUUCACCUGCAGCUACAGGCUCUACUCUGAGUCCCCAAAGGGAACAGGGCUAGGCUCUCCUUGGUGCCUGAAGAGAGCAAGGGACAGCAGCACAGGAAGGAAGGGUGCCCCUCAAGGCCGGCGGGGGCCACUAGCCCA
Molecule: RNA transcript, 3876 nt
Organism: Rhinolophus ferrumequinum (greater horseshoe bat)
Lineage: Eukaryota; Metazoa; Chordata; Mammalia; Chiroptera; Rhinolophidae
Gene: PIGL
Gene name: phosphatidylinositol glycan anchor biosynthesis class L
Exons: 8
Source: RefSeq, a predicted model, not a curated record